Molecule: non-coding RNA, 49 nt
Organism: Bos taurus (domestic cattle)
Lineage: Eukaryota; Metazoa; Chordata; Mammalia; Artiodactyla; Bovidae
Source: Rfam
GGGAAACGGGUUGAGGGGCCAGCCUCAGGCCCUGACAGCAAUUGGGGCA